RNAcentral lists this transfer RNA (73 nucleotides) under Haloarcula tailed virus 2. It matches the Rfam family "tRNA". Rfam says of the family: Transfer RNA (tRNA) molecules are approximately 80 nucleotides in length. Their secondary structure includes four short double-helical elements and three loops (D, anti-codon, and T loops). The record is from Rfam by way of RNAcentral. Lineage: Duplodnaviria; Heunggongvirae; Uroviricota; Caudoviricetes; Thumleimavirales; Soleiviridae.
GGGGACGUAGCUCGAAAGGUAGAGCGCCCACUUCGCAUGUGGGAGGCUGUAAGUUCAAAUCUUACCGACUCCA